Long non-coding RNA from Glycine soja, 124 nucleotides. RefSeq lists it as uncharacterized. NCBI's taxonomy places the organism in Eukaryota, Viridiplantae, Streptophyta, Magnoliopsida, Fabales, Fabaceae. The record is from RefSeq and is a predicted model, not a curated record. The transcript is spliced from 3 exons.
AUUUCGAUGGUGACAUGAGAAGAUUUUUGGAUGAAAAAGAGAAAAGCCUCAAUGAAGCCCUAAAUCACAUACAGGUUCUUAAGAGGGAGUUAGCAGGAAAGGAUGCAGAGAUUCGACAAAUAAA